GGUUCAUUAAUGGCUGACAACUGCAACUUCAUCAAGUCUAAUAACAAGGAUAUAUUUGCACCAUCUGUACGCGGCUCAGCAGUUCCUGAUUUUAGGAGGUUUGAAACUGUAUCAUGCUUAGUGCAUUUCUCAACAAUGCCAAAACCUAAAAGUACUGCAUUUGAGCAGGAUUCUUGUGCAUCAAUUGAUACCAGCCAUUGAGCAGAGGAAUCAACAUUGACGAGCUGACUUUCAUCAAACCAUUUAUUUUGCUGUUAACUUGUUGAACUUUGAGCUGAUGGACACUUUUUGCAGGCAUUUGUUCAAGUUACGGGUGGUAUACUCUUUACCCAAGUGAGUUUGCAUUGCAGGAGGUCCAAGUGAUGGAAGCGGUAACUUCUUGGUCUCUAACUACCCUUCAUGUGCAUUGCAGGGUCGGUGAGUUUAUGCAGAAACGCUGCAUUUGACGUUGUGCAAAUUUCUUAGAACAUGGCAUAUUCUAUUGAGCUGUCAUAUGCAUGAUAGAUUUACAUCUUCGGUUGGUCCUUUGCAGGUCACGCACACAUGGACAGAAUUAGCAUGAAAGCUCCCACUUGCAACUGCUGAAUUGCCUUGGAAUGAAUGAAGAGAAAGACUAAGAUCCUGUGUCGAGCUGUUUGUUCUUGAGAUCACAAGAAAAGUGGCUUUGAAAAUUCAUCGAAUUGCCAACAAAACUCGUCGGAAAAACGUGAAAGCAUCAUUGUCAAUACUUGAUUGAAUGAAAUCUGAAUGAUUAUAGUUCUGCUGCAAAUUGUAACAAGAAGAUUAUGAAUUUUCCGCCGCGAUAACCAUUUUAAUUGUCUUUGUAAACCAUUAUUGUUAUCCUCCUUGAACUUGAAUCAUUUCUCCACCAGUAC
This 875-nucleotide long non-coding RNA is filed under the name Lathyrus oleraceus (garden pea). RNAcentral's name for it is "Pisum sativum (pea) long non-coding RNA (PSAT_LNC003300)". The record is from RNAcentral. Lineage: Eukaryota; Viridiplantae; Streptophyta; Magnoliopsida; Fabales; Fabaceae.